RNAcentral lists this ribosomal RNA (238 nucleotides) under uncultured bacterium. RNAcentral's name for it is "partial 16S ribosomal RNA". It matches the Rfam family "Bacterial small subunit ribosomal RNA", at positions 524 to 758 of the family's 1533-position model. The record is from RNAcentral.
UACAGAGGGUGCAAGCGUUAAUCGGAAUUACUGGGCGUAAAGCGCGCGUAGGUGGUUUGUUAAGUUGGAUGUGAAAUCCCCGGGCUCAACCUGGGAACUGCAUUCAAAACUGACAAGCUAGAGUAUGGUAGAGGGUGGUGGAAUUUCCUGUGUAGCGGUGAAAUGCGUAGAUAUAGGAAGGAACACCAGUGGCGAAGGCGACCCACCGUGGACUGAUACUGACACUGAGGUGACGAAA